AUGAGCACAUGUCAUUGGGUUCUCUCGAAGAUCACCUCCAUCUUCAUGAUCGAUCUUGUGCUCCCCUCACCAGAUCGGUCUCCGGCAGGCAAAGCAUCGUUGGACUGGAACACAAGGAUGAACAUAGCUGCCCGUGUGGCCAAAGGUUUAGAGUAUCUGCACCACAAAGGUGUGGUGUACCGUAAAUCCAUGGGUAGCUCGGAGAUGGCUACCACCCAAAGUUGUCCCAGCAUGGACUGGCAGACCUUGGACGGUUGCUUGAAGAGGAUAACAAAGGCUGGUGUACUAAUUUCUGGGGAAGCACUACCAUUGCCCCCGAGACAUGCAUUACCGGGAAGGUGA
This 342-nucleotide ribosomal RNA is filed under the name Triticum aestivum (bread wheat). RNAcentral describes it as "partial small subunit ribosomal RNA". Lineage: Eukaryota; Viridiplantae; Streptophyta; Magnoliopsida; Poales; Poaceae. The record is from RNAcentral.